GUACGAACUUGAAAUUAAGAAUGGUGGUUUCUCUAAUACUCGAAAUGUGUUAUAAUACAGAAUUUUAAAAAAAUCGUCCUAGGAUAAUGGGGACGGGUGCAGCCACUGUUAUAGAUAAAAUUAUGUAUACCUAUAAGUUAACGAUAAACCAUUUCUUACGAAAAAACGAUUCUGAGCGGAGUUCAAUUGAUAGUAUUGCUUGUCAACAAC
Molecule: non-coding RNA, 210 nt
Organism: Cinara cedri
Lineage: Eukaryota; Metazoa; Arthropoda; Insecta; Hemiptera; Aphididae
Source: the annotation of a GenBank genome assembly